AACGAACGCUGGCGGCAUGCCUAACACAUGCAAGUCGAACGAGACCUUCGGGUCUAGUGGCGCACGGGUGCGUAACGCGUGGGAACCUGCCCUUAGGUUCGGAAUAACUCCCCGAAAGGGGUGCUAAUACCGGAUAAUGUCUUCGGACCAAAGAUUUAUCGCCUUUGGAUGGGCCCGCGUUGGAUUAGCUAGUUGGUAGGGUAAAAGCCUACCAAGGCGACGAUCCAUAGCUGGUCUGAGAGGAUGAUCAGCCACACUGGGACUGAGACACGGCCCAGACUCCUACGGGAAGCAGCAGUGGGGAAUAUUGGACACUGGGCGAAAGCCUGAUCCAGCAAUGCCGCGUGAGUGAUGAAGGCCUUAGGGUUGUAAAGCUCUUUUACCCGGGAUGAUAAUGACAGUACCGGGAGAAUAAGCUCCGGCUAACUCCGUG
Molecule: ribosomal RNA, 433 nt
Filed under: uncultured bacterium
Lineage: Bacteria
Description: partial 16S ribosomal RNA
Rfam family: Bacterial small subunit ribosomal RNA
Source: RNAcentral